This 119-nucleotide ribosomal RNA is filed under the name Pteropus alecto (black flying fox). The record is from RNAcentral. Lineage: Eukaryota; Metazoa; Chordata; Mammalia; Chiroptera; Pteropodidae.
GUCUACGGCCAUGCCACCCUGAACAUGCCCAAUCUCGUCUGAUCUCGGAAGCUAAGCAGGGUCAGGCCUGGUUAGAACUUGGAUAGGAGACCAUCCAGGAAGACCAGGUGCUGUAGAUG